CUAGAGAAGAAACUGAUGUCAGACUUAUCACGACUGCAUUAAAGUUAAUCAUACUUUAAUGGUAAAUGCUAAUACAUCUCGCCAAACUUAGCAGAAGAAACUCAACACAGAAAUCACAACGAAUAAUGCAUCAAGUCAAGAAGUCGGGCACAAAGAAA
Rhodamnia argentea is the source of this 158-nucleotide long non-coding RNA. RefSeq lists it as uncharacterized. NCBI's taxonomy places the organism in Eukaryota, Viridiplantae, Streptophyta, Magnoliopsida, Myrtales, Myrtaceae. The record is from RefSeq and is a predicted model, not a curated record. The transcript is spliced from 3 exons.